Molecule: ribosomal RNA, 505 nt
Filed under: uncultured bacterium
Lineage: Bacteria
Description: bacterial SSU rRNA
Rfam family: Bacterial small subunit ribosomal RNA
Source: RNAcentral
AGGACGAACGCUGGCGGCGUGCCUAACACAUGCAAGUCGAGCGGGGACAUGUGACGGAUCGGAAGUUUCGGAUGGAAGAGAAGAUGUAUGUUCUAGCGGCGGACGGGUGAGUAACGCGUGAGCAACCUGUCCUUCACAGGGGGAUAACACAGCGAAAGUUGUACUAAUACCGCAUAAGACCACGGAGAGACAUCUCUCAGGGGUCAAAGGAGCAAUCCGGUGAAGGGUGGGCUCGCGUCCGAUUAGAUAGUUGGUGAGGUAACGGCCCACCAAGUCGACGAUCGGUAGCCGACCUGAGAGGGUGAUCGGCCACAUUGGGACUGAGACACGGCCCAAACUCCUACGGGAGGCAGCAGUGGGGAAUAUUGGGCAAUGGGGGGAAACCCUGACCCAGCAACGCCGCGUGAGGGAAGAAGGUUUUCGGAUCGUAAACCUCUGUCCCAGGUGAAGAGCAAGAGACGGUAACCUGGGAGGAAGCCCCGGCUAACUACGUGCCAGCCGCGGC